CUUGGUCAGGAUGAACGCUAGCUACAGGCUUAACACAUGCAAGUCGAGGGGCAUCAUGGAGUUGCUUGCAAACUCUGAUGGCGACCGGCGCACGGGUGAGUAACGCGUAUCCAACCUUCCCUAUAGUAGAGGAUAGCCCGGCGAAAGUCGGAUUAAUACUCUAUGUUUUCCGUUGCAGACAUCUAAGAUGGAACAAAGGCUUGCCGCUAUAGGAUGGGGAUGCGUCUGAUUAGGUAGUCGGCGGGGUAACGGCUCACCGAGCCAUCGAUCAGUAGGGGUUCUGAGAGGAAGGUCCCCCACAUUGGAACUGAGACACGGUCCAAACUCCUACGGGAGGCAGCAGUGAGGAAUAUUGGUCAAUGGGCGAGAGCCUGAACCAGCCAAGUAAGCGUGCAGGACGACGGCCCUAUGGGUUGUAAACUGCUUUUAUGCGGGGAUAAAGUUCACUACGUGUAGUGUUUUGUAGGUAUCGUAUGAAUAAGGACCGGCUAAUUCCGUGCCAGCCGCCGC
This 510-nucleotide ribosomal RNA is filed under the name uncultured bacterium. RNAcentral's name for it is "bacterial SSU rRNA". It matches the Rfam family "Bacterial small subunit ribosomal RNA", at positions 19 to 518 of the family's 1533-position model. The record is from RNAcentral.